This 400-nucleotide ribosomal RNA is filed under the name uncultured bacterium. RNAcentral's name for it is "bacterial SSU rRNA". It matches the Rfam family "Bacterial small subunit ribosomal RNA", at positions 355 to 769 of the family's 1533-position model. The record is from RNAcentral.
UUAGGAAUUUUGCGCAAUGGGGGAAACCCUGACGCAGCAACGCCGCGUGAAGGAUGAAGGCCUUCGGGUUGUAAACUUCUUUUAGCAGGAAAGAACAAAAUGACGGUACCUGCAGAAAAAGCACCGGCUAACUCUGUGCCAGCAGCCGCGGUAAUACAGAGGGUGCAAGCGUUAUUCGGAAUUACUGGGCAUAAAGAGCGCGUAGGCGGUCUAAUAAGUCUGAUGUGAAAGCCCUGGACUCAAUCCAGGAAGUGCAUCGGAUACUGUUAGACUCGAGUAAAGGAGGGGACAGCGGAAUUCCUGGUGUAGAGGUGAAAUUCGUAGAUAUCAGGAGGAACAACAGUGGCGAAGGCGGCUGUCUGGACUUUCACUGACGCUGAGGCGCGAAAGCGUGGGGAGC